CCUGCCCCUGCUGGGUGCUGGGACUAAAGGCCUGCACCACACGCCUGACUGGUGAAUUGUCUUCUAAUUCUAAAUCUGGUACUAAGUGCUCUAAGAAAGCUCAAGAGGCUCACUGGUGUUGUGGUGGCCCAGGGCGUCAGUAGUGCCGUGACCUCCAGCAAGCGUAUGGCCUGGCAGUGGAGACUGACUAACCCUAAGUUUCCCCUCGUUGAUGUGCUCAUAGAUCGCGUCUGCGCCCUGAUCCAAGGCACGCUCGAAGAACAGGGCGCCCACUGCGAUGGUGAGGGCGAAGGUGGAAGUUCUGCGGAACAGCAAGGAGUACAGACGCGAAGGGAUCGUCGGCAACGACAUGUUGCCUCACUGCCGAACUCGCGCCACUGCCAGAUGUAUUUCUUUAUGUUCCGGUGCCACAUGCAUGCCUGGUACCUGAGGAUGACAGAAGAGGACAUCAGGUCCCCUGGAACUUGAGUUGCAAUUCUGGAAAAGGGUCCCACCCCUGCCAAAGAGCGGCAGAAAACGAGAAACGGCGCUUCCUGAUAUUCUCCCUGGCCCUUGUAUCCUGUCUU
RNAcentral lists this long non-coding RNA (566 nucleotides) under Mus musculus (house mouse). RNAcentral describes it as "RIKEN cDNA 4930481A15 gene". Lineage: Eukaryota; Metazoa; Chordata; Mammalia; Rodentia; Muridae. The record is from RNAcentral.